RNAcentral lists this transfer-messenger RNA (150 nucleotides) under Rhizobiales bacterium 63-7. It matches the Rfam family "Alphaproteobacteria transfer-messenger RNA", at positions 40 to 173 of the family's 355-position model. Rfam says of the family: Bacterial tmRNA, also known as 10Sa RNA or SsrA, is named for its dual tRNA and mRNA-like properties. Its role is to liberate the mRNA from a stalled ribosome. To accomplish this part of the tmRNA is used as a reading frame that ends in a translation stop signal. The record is from RNAcentral. Lineage: Bacteria; Pseudomonadati; Pseudomonadota; Alphaproteobacteria; Hyphomicrobiales.
GCCGGUCUUCGGAUCGGCUAUGGCAAUAAACGGUCGGUGUAAUAAACCUAUUGGACCCGGGGGCGGUACCCGGCGCCUCCACCAGGAACCGGCGGCCCCUCUUUCGGGAAGGCCGGCUGCUGAUGGGGGCGAAACAGGAUCGACAAGGGC